Molecule: ribosomal RNA, 456 nt
Filed under: Lancefieldella rimae
Lineage: Bacteria; Bacillati; Actinomycetota; Coriobacteriia; Coriobacteriales; Atopobiaceae
Description: bacterial SSU rRNA
Rfam family: Bacterial small subunit ribosomal RNA
Source: RNAcentral
GAUGAACGCUGGCGGCGCGCCUAACACAUGCAAGUCGAACGGUUAAAGCACCUUUUAGGUGUGUAUAAAGUGGCGAACGGCUGAGUAACACGUGGGCAACCUGCCCUCCUCUUGGGGAUAGCCUCGGGAAACCGAGGAUAAUACCCGAUACUUCAAUGUGGCCGCAUGACGACAUUGAGAAAGCUUUUGCGGAGAAGGAUGGGCCCGCGGCCUGUUAGCUUGUUGGUGGGGUAGAGGCCUACCAAGGCAAUGAUGGGUAGCUGGGUUGAGAGACCGACCAGCCAGAUUGGGACUGAGACACGGCCCAGACUCCUACGGGAGGCAGCAGUGGGGAAUCUUGCACAAUGGGCGAAAGCCUGAUGCAGCGACGCCGCGUGCGGGAAGAAGGCCUUCGGGUUGUAAACCGCUUUCAGCAGGGACGAGGCGAAAGUGACGGUACCUGCAGAAGAAGCCCCG